This 582-nucleotide ribosomal RNA is filed under the name uncultured bacterium. Its description in RNAcentral is "partial 16S ribosomal RNA". It matches the Rfam family "Bacterial small subunit ribosomal RNA", at positions 355 to 1375 of the family's 1533-position model. The record is from RNAcentral.
CUAAGAAUAUUCCGCAAUGGACGGAAGUCUGACGGAGCGACGCCGCGUGGAUGACGAAGGCCGAAAGGUUGUAAAGUUCUUUUGCUGGGGAAGAAUAACCGCAGGAGGGAAUGCCUGUGGGAUGACAAGAACCGGCGAAUAAGCCCCGGCCAACUACGUGCCAGCAGCCGCGGUAACACGUAGGGGGCGAGCGUUGUUCGGAAUUACUGGGCGUAAAGGGCAUGUAGGCGGCUUGGAAAGCCUGGCGUGAAAGUCUGCAGCUUAACUGCAGGGGUGCGCUGGGAACUGCUGAGCUUGAGUGACGGAGAGGGAGCUGGAAUUCCUGGUGUAGGGGUGAAAUCUGUAGAUAUCAGGAAGAACACCGAUGGCGAAGGCAAGCUCCUGGCCGAUGACUGACGCUGAGGUGCGAAAGUGUGGGGAUCAAACAGGAUUAGAUACCCUGGUAGUCCACACAGUCAACGAUGUGCACUAGGUGCUGGGGCGGUAGCUUCGGUGCCGGAGCGAACGUGGUAAGUGCACCGCCUGGGGAGUAUGCUCGCAAGGGUGAAACUAAAUGAAUUGACGGGGUCAUAGCUGUUUCCU